UAGGGAAUCUUCCGCAAUGGACGCAAGUCUGACGGAGCAACGCCGCGUGAGUGAAGAAGGAUUUCGGUUCGUAAAACUCUGUUGUUAGAGAAGAACAGCGCAUAGAGUAACUGUUAUGCGUGUGACGGUAUCUAACCAGAAAGCCACGGCUAACUACGUGCCAGCAGCCGCGGUAAUACGUAUGGAGCGAGCGUUGUCCGGAAUUAUUGGGCGUAAAGGGUACGCAGGCGGUUUAAUAAGUCGAAUGUUAAAGAUCGGGGCUCAACCCCGUAAAGCAUUGGAAACUGAUAAACUUGAGUAGUGGAGAGGAAAGUGGAAUUCCUAGUGUAGUGGUGAAAUACGUAGAUAUUAGGAGGAAUACCAGUAGCGAAGGCGACUUUCUGGACACAAACUGACGCUGAUGUACGAAAGCGUGGGGAGCAAACAGG
This 428-nucleotide ribosomal RNA is filed under the name Bacteroidota bacterium. RNAcentral's name for it is "Bacteroidetes bacterium partial 16S ribosomal RNA". It matches the Rfam family "Bacterial small subunit ribosomal RNA", at positions 355 to 776 of the family's 1533-position model. Lineage: Bacteria; Pseudomonadati; Bacteroidota. The record is from RNAcentral.